GUCUCAGCUCAGUCGGUUAGAGCAUCGUGCUGAUAACGCCAAGGUUGCAGGUUCGAUCCCCGUAUGGUACA
Non-coding RNA from Podarcis lilfordi (Lilford's wall lizard), 71 nucleotides. The record is from the annotation of a GenBank genome assembly. NCBI's taxonomy places the organism in Eukaryota, Metazoa, Chordata, Lepidosauria, Squamata, Lacertidae.